GAACGGAUCAAGCGUUAAUGUGAGACGUACUUUCAGGUAUAUAUAUUUAACAUUAUUGUUUCGUCUUGUAAGCGUGGCGUAUCUUCCUGUAUUUUUUUCUAGGAAGAACUGGAACGACACUGCUUAAAUUGAAGCAUAGUGUGUGAAUGACCUGCUAUGCUUGGAGCUGUUACCACCAUUCGGGAAGAAAUCAGAUGAAAAAACAAAACUAUAAAUACCUAGUACUGUACGAUAUACGUCCGCUGCAUUGCAGGUAAAAAUGGAUUGUGUGUGGCACAGCUCCGCAUGUGGACUAGAGUAGAUCUAGGAACAUCGGACUAAAAGACACUUUGUUUCAGUUUGAAUGAGCAUUGCAACUAUCCAAGCUUCACUCUCGACGGGGACAGUGAAAUGCCGGAUACUGUACCAUUCAGAGCCAAGAACAUGGGAACGGCUGAAGAAGAGCCUCCCAGGCAGUAUGCGAAACUCUCACAGCAGACCAGCACUGUCCUUUAGCUGUAUCAUACUAUAUCAGUGAACAAAGACUACUUGCAAAUUGUUAACACUGCUGCACGAAAAAAUUAAUGUAUUUUAUGGUUGCAAAAUAAACACCUAAAAGAGAAAACAUUGCGUUCAUGUGUUUCUUUUGUUGCGUGUUACUUAUUUAUACUAACGAGUACAGAGAAUAAUUAGUGGCAUUUAAUUAUGUUUCACAUGUGAAUUACGUGCAUAUCACGUAUAUUAAAUGCCAGCGCGAGUUAAACACCUCUAAUAAACUGUAUAUCGUUGACCUGAAAAUGCAACACGCAGCAAAAAAAGAAAAACGUGAUGUUUUUUUUUUUUAUAAUAAAAAAUAAAAAAAUGUCCGCACCCAGCCAAUGGCA
Long non-coding RNA from Dermacentor andersoni, 863 nucleotides. RefSeq lists it as uncharacterized. The record is from RefSeq and is a predicted model, not a curated record. Lineage: Eukaryota; Metazoa; Arthropoda; Arachnida; Ixodida; Ixodidae.